UAGGGAAUCUUCCACAAUGGGCGCAAGCCUGAUGGAGCAACACCGCGUGAGUGAAGAAGGGUUUCGGCUCGUAAAUCUCUGUUGUUGAAGAAGAACGUGCAUGAGAGUAACUGUUCAUGCAGUGACGGUAUUCAACCAGAAAGUCACGGCUAACUACGUGCCAGCAGCCGCGGUAAUACGUAGGUGGCAAGCGUUAUCCGGAUUUAUUGGGCGUAAAGCGAGCGCAGGCGGUUGCUUAGGUCUGAUGUGAAAGCCUUCGGCUUAACCGAAGAAGUGCAUCGGAAACCGGGCGACUUGAGUGCAGAAGAGGACAGUGGAACUCCAUGUGUAGCGGUGGAAUGCGUAGAUAUAUGGAAGAACACCAGUGGCGAAGGCGGCUGUCUGGUCUGUAACUGACGCUGAGGCUCGAAAGCAUGGGUAGCGAACAGG
Molecule: ribosomal RNA, 429 nt
Filed under: uncultured Lactobacillus sp.
Lineage: Bacteria; Bacillati; Bacillota; Bacilli; Lactobacillales; Lactobacillaceae
Description: bacterial SSU rRNA
Rfam family: Bacterial small subunit ribosomal RNA
Source: RNAcentral